Molecule: ribosomal RNA, 253 nt
Filed under: uncultured bacterium
Lineage: Bacteria
Description: partial 16S ribosomal RNA
Rfam family: Bacterial small subunit ribosomal RNA
Source: RNAcentral
UACGUAGGUGACCAGCGUUGUCCGGAUUUACUGGGCGUAAAGAGCGCGCAGGCGGUCGUUCAAGUCGAGUGUGAAAGCCCCCGGCUCAACUGGGGAGGGUCACUCGAUACUGAUCGACUUGAAGGCAGGAGAGGGAAGCGGAAUUCCCGGUGUAGUGGUGAAAUGCGUAGAUAUCGGAAGGAACACCAGUGGCGAAGGCGGCCAUCUGGACGGUGACUGACGCUGAGACGCGAAAGCGUGGGGAGCAAACAGG